This 489-nucleotide unclassified non-coding RNA is filed under the name Fusarium sp. MF-30(1). RNAcentral's name for it is "partial contains ITS1, 5.8S rRNA and ITS2". The stretch from base 130 to 283 matches the Rfam family "5.8S ribosomal RNA". Lineage: Eukaryota; Fungi; Ascomycota; Sordariomycetes; Hypocreales; Nectriaceae. The record is from RNAcentral.
AACCCCUGUGACAUACCUAUACGUUGCCUCGGCGGAUCAGCCCGCGCCCCGUAAAACGGGACGGCCCGCCCGAGGACCCUAAACUCUGUUUUUAGUGGAACUUCUGAGUAAAACAAACAAAUAAAUCAAAACUUUCAACAACGGAUCUCUUGGUUCUGGCAUCGAUGAAGAACGCAGCAAAAUGCGAUAAGUAAUGUGAAUUGCAGAAUUCAGUGAAUCAUCGAAUCUUUGAACGCACAUUGCGCCCGCCAGUAUUCUGGCGGGCAUGCCUGUUCGAGCGUCAUUUCAACCCUCAAGCUCAGCUUGGUGUUGGGACUCGCGGUAACCCGCGUUCCCCAAAUCGAUUGGCGGUCACGUCGAGCUUCCAUAGCGUAGUAAUCAUACACCUCGUUACUGGUAAUCGUCGCGGCCACGCCGUAAAACCCCAACUUCUGAAUGUUGACCUCGGAUCAGGUAGGAAUACCCGCUGAACUUAAGGUGACCUCGGUA